CCGAGCUCAUGCCCUUACGGGUAGAUCUCCCACCCUAUGUUAUCGUUACCUUCGUUGCUUUGGCGGGCCGUCAGGCCUCGGUCAGGCUAUCGGCUCCGGCUGGUAAGCGCCCGCCAGAGGACCCCAAACUCUGAGUAUUAGUGUCGUCUGAGUACUAUGUAAUAGUUA
This 168-nucleotide unclassified non-coding RNA is filed under the name uncultured Helotiales. RNAcentral describes it as "sequence contains ITS1". The record is from RNAcentral. Lineage: Eukaryota; Fungi; Ascomycota; Leotiomycetes; Helotiales.